GGUUGUGUUUCUCUGCACGUCAAGCGGCACACCCACAAUAAACUGCCUACUAGGAGUAAUAAACCCAACGCGGGGUGGACUUAAAAAGAAGCUGCAAGUCACCUUGUAAUGGAAGAGAGGGGAGCUGACCAUGACAUUGCUAUGGAAGGAUCUAAUGAUUUGUUCAUAGGCAGCUGUAAUGCUACAGGAGAGUCAGAAACAAAUGAUCAGAUUUUUCAGAAGUUGCUGCUCAAAGUACAUUUUACUGUUUUUCCUCUGUGAAAGCAACUGAGGUGCAUGGAUUCCAGGGAUCUAUUGUUCGGCCAGAGCGACUCUCCCCCAGCCCUGCCCAUCGCAGUCCCCCUGUCGGGCAGCCCUCCCCAGGCGCGGUCCUGCUCUGCCGAGGAACUGCACGGGGCAGAGCAGCCCAGGCAGCCGCUGUGUGAGCUGCAGCCCCUGGGAGGGCCCGGGGCACCCAUGAUGAUUGUUACCAGCCAGUCAGAAAAUGGGCAGGUGCUGCAUGUCAUUCCUUCUGCCCAGCCAGGAGUGACCCAAGUGAUUAUUCCUCCAGGUCAGCUUCUGGAUGUGACCAGCACACAGGAUAUUUCAGAAGAGAAGUGUGGUGAUGGGAAUCUGCAGACUGUGGUGGUGGCUUCCAUAGCAGACAGUGCAAGCAGUUACAUUCUACAUCCACAGGCAUCUCUCACUGUAUCAAAAAAAACAACCACCAGGGCAGUGGAAGAUUCUUUUCCCAUCCCUCUUCAGCCAUUGCCACUAAAUACGCCUGCAUGGGCACGCCGUCUCAGGAACUGUGAGAGAAUUGGGGACUCGUACCGCGGCUAUUGCGUGAGCGAGGCAGAGUUAGAGAGCGUCCUGGCGCUGCACAAGCAGCAGACACAGAGCGUGUGGGGCACGCGCCAGUCUCCGAGCCCCGCCAAACCCGCCACACGCUUGAUGUGGAAAUCCCAGUAUGUCCCAUAUGAUGGGAUCCCCUUUGUCAAUGCAGGAAGCAGAGCCAUUGUAAUGGAGUGCCAAUAUGGGCCAAGGAGGAAAGGAUUUCAGCCCAAAAAAGCUGGUGAGCAGGAAAGCACCUCUAGCCAGCUGUACAAAGCCACUUGUCCAGCAAGGAUCUAUAUUAAAAAGGUCCAAAAGUUUCCAGAAUACAGGGUUCCUACUGACCCUAAAAUUGACAAGAAAAUCAUAAGAAUGGAGCAGGAGAAAGCAUUCAACAUGCUGAAGAAGAACUUGAUAGAUGCUGGUGGUGUCCUCAGGUGGUAUGUACAGUUACCUACUCAGCAAGCCCACCAAUAUCAUGAGAUGGAAACUUCCUGCCUCCCUCCUUCACCAUCCCAUCUUUCUAUGUCUUCUCCUGAGGAGGAGGAGGAGGUCAUUAGGGAUGAGAACAGUACUCUGCCUUCUCGACUUCAUCCUCAAGUGGCAGACAAGAUCCGAGAGCUGGUGUCUCAGGGAGUGGAGCAGGUCUAUGCAGUGAGGAAGCAGCUGAGAAAGUAUGUGGAAAGAGAAUUGUUCACACCUGAUGAAGUGCCAGAAAGACAUAACCUGUCCUUCUUCCCCACUGUGAAUGACAUCAAGAACCACAUUCAUGAAGUGCAGAAGUCCCUAAGGAAUGGAGAGAUGGUGUAUAAUUCAGAAAGUAUCCCAGCAACGCUGCAAUGGACCACAGACAGUGGGAAUGUCCUCACAGAAACAGUGACGGUUGCGUUUGCCUCAGCACCUUCCGAUGGGAGCUCAGGAAUCGAGUCAGUCAUCACCAAAGCAGAAUCCAACCAGAGCGGGGAGCCCUUGGUACCAGAAACAGCUCAGCUGCUGUCUUCACUCUCCUCACUUCAGCCCAAGAUAUUUGCACAGCUUCAGGGAUUACAGCUGCAGUCAGCAUUUACCUCGACAAAUGGAUCAACAGCCCUGCUAGCUGUAAAUAACCAUUCCCCUCCCAGCCCUGCAGGUCUCCUGGAUUCCCUGGGGAGUGCAAUAGGCAGCCAUUCUCUAGCACUGGCUCAGGGGCACAGUCUGCAAGGUGCUGGUCUGACACAGGACAGUGCUGCUGUGCCUGCUUUUGGGGCUCUGCCUGCCUCUGAUCAGAGUCUGCUUGCCAUGGGCCAGCUGGUGCCAGCUGAAGGGGUGGAUGACUCCAGAAACCUGGAAGGAGGAGUGCAGCAGAUCCUCUUGGGAGAUGUGCAGACUAUCCCAGUACGGAUUGUGGACAGCCAGCCAGCACUUACUGAAGAAAAUACAGAGGGUGUUGUUACUUGUGUGAGCCAAGUUAAACAAGAACCAAGAGAGAAAGCAUUGUCUAUGGAAACAGAUAAAAUCAGAGACUGCCACAGUUCCUCACCAUAGUUCUUCACCUUCACCUGUGAAGCCUGGAAGGAUUUUCAAAUUGGAGAACUCUAAAUGUCUUAGAAGGAAAGGCAGGUGCUCUCAAAGUACUGCCAUUCUUUUUUAAUUUCUGUAUGACUUUCAGAAUAAGCAUAUUUUAGAGUACUUCUGACAGAAAGCUGUUUUGCUUGGACUGAUGGGGCUCACUACCAACUCCAGGUCAUUCCGUUGCCCUGUGGAACACCACCUCUCUCUUCUGUUUCAAGUUUUGAGUAAUUUGGAUUCUAUCCAAAUGGCCAUUUUGUUCAUUGUUUCUGAAGGUCUUCCACAAUUUAAUUCCUUAGCUUUAGAAUGUGGAUCACAAUGCUGGGUUCACAUUUUCUGCUUGAAACCCUUGACUUUUAUUGUACUACAGAGACCAUAGAAUCUGUCAGCUCCAAGAUCACAGAAUCCAACAGCAAAGUGGAUCAGUAUGGCAAUGGUUUUGUGACAAAAGGAAGGUCCAGGAUGCUAAACUUCAAAGUGAUAAAGGACAUGGAUGCUUACGAAAAUGCAACUUUGACCUGAUCAUAAUGUUAAUGGUGUGAAGAUCAAGGAGUGGAGAAAGGUGAGGUUUCCAGGUGAACAUAAGGUUGUAUGAUAAAGAAAAGUGUGUGAAUUGUAACAGUGAAUGUUUUUGACUUGACACCUUUGAACUUAAGUUCUGGCUUUAUAAUGAGGUUCAUUGAUGCAUGCAGCCUUCCUUUGCAGCGGUACUGUAAUUGCAGUUGGUCAUAACAACUAAAUGUAGGAGUCUUUCUCAUGGAAAAUGAUUGAUGCUGCCAUUUCAGCUUAUCUACCUCUUGCUUUGUGCCCUUGAAGCUAUCAGCUCAGACAAAUGUGAUUUAAGCUGCUGUUGUUUGUUAUGUAGGGCUUGUGGAUACAUUCCUAACAAAGAGAAGCCCAAGCAAACAAAGGAAGCAAUCAAAGCAAUAUGUCCAAGUAUGCUGUCACCACAACAUUCAGAAAAUAUACUAAUCUUUUUCAAAGGUGACAUAUUCUAAGACUUAUGCGGUCCAUACAAUUCAAAUAAUUACCAGGAAUCUUUAGAAAAUAAAAUGUGGUAAAAAUUAAAGUUUAGUAGUAUUUGAGGUAAAGCCAUAGUAAGUGACAAGCACUGAGCUGCGUAAUGUGUGACAGACAUUUAGAAAAAAAAUCACACCUACAAAUAACUUGGAAUCAAUUUAAAGCUGUAAAUGAAGUAAAACUGAUAACAACAUAGACAUCAAGUUAAGCAAUUGCAUUGUUUACUUCAGAUGUUGAAUUCCUAGAGCAACAUUCAGAGUAGUUUCUAUACAGCAAUAGGAGCCUUUUUGUUAUUAGGUCCUGCUAACUAGUUGAGAGCUUGAUCAUAAAAUAGGGGUUUUUUCUGCAUGCUGUGGAAGAAUCCAGUAUGAGGAUUCUCUCUUUUUCAGAUUUGAAAACAAGCAAACAAAUAACCCCAGGGAAAUUUAUUAGUUCAUUUAUGUAGAGAAGAAAGUGUUGUGAAUAUUAUAUGAACCAACAUAUUAACAUUUUAAAAUUGUUACUGUACCUUGCACUCAAGCAUUCACAAACAUCUUCUAAACAGUGGCGAUUUAAAAUUAUUUUUUCAUUUUAUUUAAAGCUAAAACUUUCAAAAGCCUUACAUUGAAUUUGAGUUCCAAAUGCCUUUAUAUGCAAAAUCUGUUAGGUGCUGUAUCUUAGUCUUAAUAUAUAUCAACUUCUCUGAGGCUAACUAACAUUAUAAAUAUUAUUUGUUUAAAGCUAAUGUUUCUGGGUUAGGUCCCAUUAGAAUUUUCCAACAGGAUUAUGCUCUUAUUAAACAAGAGCCAGUAUUUUAUCAGGCAAGUGCAUUAAAAAAAUCUCCAUUUUUUCGGAGCCUCUAAUAUUUAGUAUCUACACUGACUUGUUUUAUGGUAUGCUUUACUCAUUCCUAGGUAGGAAAAAUCCCACAAGAUUCAUCUGUGGCACUUAUUUAUUUGGUUGGGGUUUUUAAUCUUGCCUUAUUUGUUUGUUGGUGGGUUUUUUUGGUAGGUCGUUUUGCUAAUUGCCAAAAUAUCUCCCAGAUGGAAGUUGUCUGCUGCAGUGUUAGUUCUGGAGCACUCACUCAGCAGUCCUCUUCUCUUUUCCAGCUCAAAAACUGCAUACCAGAAUGGGUACCUCCUUCUAUGCUGCUGUGUUCAAUAAUUCCAUCAUGGCCAGCUUUUCUUAAAGUUUAAACUAUUGCAUUCCAACCUAUAUUCUCUUUCCCUCUGUUGCUCUUUUUCUGAGAAUUUUUCCUCAUUGUUGAGAAUCCUUCUUUUCAAAAGAAUAAAUUACAGCUAAAGAUUACCAGCAAGAGGUUGUUUCCGUUUUAGUUCCCUUCAAAGCAGACCAUACAUUUGUGAUUGGAGCAAAAGCUUAAGGAAAGUCAAGUUAUAUUUCCAUCAGUUCUUGCUUAGUUCCCUCAUUAACAGUUCUGGUUUGUGCACAGUUCUUUCCACCAUGAGCUACAAUUUCCUCCUGUACUGUACAGUAUUUCUGGUGGUAUUUCUGGUUUUGACCUACUGCUCACAGCUGGAGAAAACCAUCUUGAAUUGCAGGUUCUGAAAUUAAUUUUGUAUUCUAUCCUGAUUUGCAUGGUACUCUGAAAACAAUAGAAGAAAAAGCUGCAAGAAUUUUAAAUAAGCAAUAAAGAAUUAGUUGUUUUUAAAAGCUGGGGAUCAGACUUGCAAUUCUGUUAUUCUAUUUAUUGGAAAAUUUAUUUUAAAUGAUUCUUGAGUCAAUACUCACAUUUUUGUCUUCAGUUUUCUUAAUUUUUACAGAAUUUCAGUUCUUUGUCUUCCAGAUACAUAUUUCAGUUUAUUACUGUGUCAUUUAUUUUAAUUUAAUGUAAUAAUUCUUUUUCAAAGUGUGUUUUACAUUUGUUUUGUGUGUGUUGCUGAAGGAGGAAUAUGAACUCACCCCCAUGUCCAGUCUCUAUGUUUGAUUUAAUGUAUUUUUUCACUAAUAUCCACCUAUAUUUUACAGAGAAGACUGUUAUGUAUCUGAAAAAGAUCAGAAGUAAAUGGUGCCACGUGUAAUCGUUAAAGUUGUUUAAAUAGAAUACUCAAGGCUGAUUUUUCAGAGUAGUCUGUGUAGCUUGAUGCAGAAUACUUGGUUAUUACUUUGUGUUGGAAUUGCAGAUGUUUCCUUUUUCUUGUGGUUGUUGUGUGCAAGCGCUUAUUUUGAAAAUCUAGAAUUCCUGACCUUCAACAGUACUGUAAAUGAACAACUGAUUCUCCAGUUAUCCUUGGUUAUCCUAUGCACUUAUCCUAUCCAGUUAUUGUUGUUGGUUGUCUGUAAGAGUGGUCGGUUGCUUUACAAGAAGAGAUGUGCUUCUGUAUGUGCAUGCAAAGAUAAUCUUUUGGUAAAAUGUAGAGAAGGUGUAAAAAGGUACAUAUCUAUAGCUCUCAUUCAAGGCUGGAGGCCUCUUGGAUGGAAAUUAAUACUGGUAAUGAGUGCUUUUUGUGGUACAAAAUUAUUGCAGUUUCCACAAAAUUUAGAGGCACAAAUGUCUGUGUAUGUAUGUGUAUGUAUAUUUUUUUUCUAUAGUAACUUAAUGUAAAAUAUUCCUAUUCAAAUGUAAACUACUUGUUCUUUUCAAAUACUGGUCUAUUUUGUGGCUAUGGGGGCUCAUGGGGAGAAAUGCAAGAGCUCUGUCAGGGCAGUGGAGAUGGAGAUGGAGAACAAGUAAGACAGCUUCAGGGAGAAGCUUCAGGUGGAAGAACUACUUCAGGUGGAAGAAAUUGCUGAAAAGCAAGGAUCCUGCUGGGAGGGCAGAUGGGGGCUGUGCCUGGGGGGUUUUGGGGUUGAGAGCCCAAGGGCUCAAUGCAGUUCUUGAGUCUAUCCAUAGUCCUCUCUAUGCCAGUAGUGGAUAGUGUGAGUUCAUGGUAGGAAUUUAAAGGUAUGAAGAGAAGGGAAGCCUGCCCUGCCCUUAAAAGCAGAAAAGCUGCUUCAGUUUUGGUGAGCACCAGAGGCAGAUAAAUGACUCCCAAUAGUCUGAGGUGCCCAUUCUUAGCUUCUGAUAUAAAGAAGAAACUCCUCUUGGAGCUUCAGCCCAGGGCUGUAGACUCUUUUUCUUUACCUGUUACCAAGGAAAACAAACCUUUUCUUUCCAACUGAAUUAACCUGCUGCUUUUCUCAUCCCACUGACUGCAGCUCAGUAUCUGCCCAAAUGUCUCUUUCUUCAGACUUAUUAAGGCUUCCACAGAAAUCCCAUGCCCUCAGGCCCUCCAAUUCUCAGUGUUUCACUGCUGGACUGUUGAAGGAGCUGCUGAGUUCACUGCACAGAAGUUCUACAAGCCUUCAAGGAACGUGGAGAGCAUGAAGGUGUGUAAGAUCUUGUGAACGGACCUGCAGGAAUGAAACAGAGGAGAAUAAAAUUUGAUGACAUGACUUCUAUGUAAUGCACUUUCUUUGGUGGGAGGAAGAGGAUUUUCCAAUAGAGAAUAAAAAACAUGAAGCAUUCCAAACUACCCCUCAAAACCACCAUGCUUAGAGCCUGAAAGGAUCAUUUACCUCUGAGAGUAGUCCAGAUAACUGUCAAGAGACCAGAGCAGAGAACAGAAGAGGAAGACAAGUUUGCAAAAAACUGCUUGCAGGAGAUAGAAAGCUCUCAAAGCUACAGCUGAAGAUGGCAAUUUCUUAUUGCUGAAAUGGCUCCGUUUAGAUGGUAAAUGUUUUUUAAAUAUACUGCUUUUAAAUUGUUGAUUUUGUUACUAUUUAUGCUCUGAGCUCACAUCUAAUAAAAGAUAGAAUGUUAAUGGUGUAUUUUGCUUUUAUCUUCAGCUGGUUAUCUUCUGAAUGCAAACUGGUCUGAUAACUCCGUGGUCUUGGCUGUUGACAAAGCUGUUAUCACAUCUGAGCUGUUCUGUACGUGCAAGGAGAUGGAGGAAGUGGGAACCUUCUUCACCUGACUUCUGCUGAGAACAGAUGAUCUGUGGAAAGAGGCCUUUACUGGUUUAAAAUCAAUAUCCUCACAAUAAUUUCUUGGCUGCACAGGUUUUUCAUGUCAGGUGCUAGUGCAUCUCUAACUUUGCACA
This is an RNA transcript of Melozone crissalis (California towhee), 7400 nucleotides long. It is a transcript of the gene named calcium responsive transcription factor, with no coding region annotated. NCBI's taxonomy places the organism in Eukaryota, Metazoa, Chordata, Aves, Passeriformes, Passerellidae. The transcript has 18 exons. The record is from RefSeq and is a predicted model, not a curated record.